CCUCAGGCGGGCGUCCUACGGGGCAGCAGGCAUGGCGGCGGCGGCGGGGGGUUGUUUCCCCUCGCUGCGUUAUUUCGAGGGCCACCGGGUGCGACGUUGUCCCGCGGGGGGUGUAGCGCCCUGCCCGACCCGCCCGCUCUGAGGCGGCGGCGGGAAGGGGAGGCCCCGGGGGAGAGCGGGUCGCCGCAGGCUCCCCCGCGGCGGUGACUCCGGCCCUGGCGGUUUAGUCCCCGCCGGGAGCGGGCGGGAGGGGCUGCAUCUGCGACCUGUGCUAUCCCUUCUCAGGCAUUGGGGGGAAGUCAGGGACACUUCCUUUCAGCCCAGUGCACCAUUCAAGGCCAUUAAGGAAUCUCCAGUCUCAAGGACCCCGUAGAGCUGGGAAGGAAUCUUUGGAGCCGGUGCAGACCAAAAUACAGCAACUGGGUUUCUUUGGAAGCAACAUGAGUAUUUCUCAGUGUGGAUCCUGCUGGUGGUAAUGCUGGUAGCAGCAGGCAGCAGCGGUCCACUUGAUUCCUGAUGAUAACCCCAGAGUGCCCAGGGAAAUACCGGUACAGAAUUCUCCGCUUCCCUCCAGCCCCCCAGGCCGAGAAGAAGGGAGUCUUCUGCAUUCACUGAAACAACAGGUCUGAGGUGACCUUUGCUUAUUAUGCCAGGGAAAAAAGAAUAAUCCUACCUUGUCAGGGUGGCCAGAGAUGAUAGUUCUAUCUAUCAGAUAGUUUGAGAGAGAUCAUUUGUAGCAGCCCACCCUGGUUUUGUUCAGCUUUCUCUUCUCGUAGUCCUGGUUAAAAGCUCCUGCGUGUGCAGUAAGGGGUUAAUGCAGUCCUCCACGCAAAUACCUGUAAGACACAAGGUUGCCACGCAGGCUCUGCUCAGGAGGACAGGAACAGAACUAGGAUAUUCUUCCCCCACCACACCACUUUUCAGAUGGUGGUGACGUCCCUGCCAGGGAAGCGUUCCUGGGCCAUCGGUGCCCUGCCCGUACCCGCUGACCUGAGCGAUCCCCUGUCACCGUUCCAGCGAUGGCUUUUGUUCGUUCCUCCAAGCAUUCCUUCUUGCCCACACUACCAAGUUUCACUAGCCCUGGAAAUCAUGUCCUUCCCAAAGCGCUGGACCCUCCCGCACAUUUCAUAGCAUAGCAACGUAACUCAAUUACCAUGGAUCCCAGACACAGGCGUGCAGAAUUUAUCUAACUAAUCAAGCGGCUAAGGGACACCAGUUCCAGUUACAGUCAGCUUGGAGUAUAAAGCAGCUACAGCUAAAAGAUGGUGUGCAAGCACUUCCCAGGGAGGCAAAACAGUGAGGUGUAUUUUUCUUUUUUCUUUUUCUUUUUUUUUUCUUUUUUAAUGGCCAAUGUAACGGGUAUAGUUUUGGUAAACAAGAGGACAGAAUUAUUCAUUCAUCCCUAAAUUGCUUCCCACUGAGGUAUCACACCUGCAUGUGGUAUUUGAGAGCUGGGAGCAUUUUCUUUAAAAUACUGCCACAUUGUAGAAGUUUAUUAUCCAGCUUUUACUCUAAAUGUGAUUAUUAUGCAUUGCCAUCUUUUGCCCAAAAUCAAAAUGCACUCUACAAGAAAGGUGCACUUGGUUGCUCUCUGCAAAGCAGCUGGCACGACUGGAGUCAAAUGGAAUAUAGACCAGUUGGUCUGUCUUUUGCCACUUAGCAGUUAAUGAAAACUUACCAAACCUCAACUAGUAGCUAAUUGGAAAUCUCUACAAAACCCAUCUAUAAGCCCAGACAUGGGUCUUCCAGAAUAAAACAAACCUGAUAAAGCCUCUUUCAUCCAGGGAAGAAACCUGUUCAUCUGUAUUCCCUGAUUUAAGCACCUUUGGCAAGGUGCUUGGGACUGUUUGCUGAGCAUGUUAUUCAAAAGAUACAGUUAAAAUGAAGUGAGAGGGUUUUUUUUUUUAACUUUUAUGCACACAUUGAAGCCCUGAUAUAAGGCCUAUUUGUUACAGAAAACUUGAAUGGAUGCCACGGUGGGCAGAUCUGUCUUGCACCAACUUGCAGAAAAAUAGUGUCUUGUUUUAGAAAUAUUUCAAAUGGGAAGGAAGGACACUUAAAACAUGGCUUUGAAAAGCACAGAAGGAUAAUUCUUACCAAGCUGAGAUUAGAGAAGCAUUUCUCUUUAGGAAAAUUUUAGAACCGACUUGAGACCAGCAUAUAACAAACCUUGAAUUACAAGCGUAACCCUUUUUUCAUAACAACAGUCUUCACUAAGCAGUGCUAUUUUGGUCAGCGAUGAGUUCUUUUGUUGUGGGAGAUGGCUUUCAAUUUCGUGAUGUUGCAAUCGGGAAGCCUCGAACAUUUUGGGAUCAGUUCUAAUAUUUUCCUGUUGGUAAGCCAUUUUUAAGGCAAUAUACAGAUUAUGGUUAUUUUCCAAACGUGGGUCCAAAAUAAAAAGUCCGAGAAAGCCCAUCCCAUAAUUCAGGCUGACACUAAGUGCACGCUUCUCCAGGUUUGGCAGAGUGUGUUGUGUACGCUGGUUGUGUGAUAAAUGUAACAUUUUCUCCGAGAUUCUCCUGCUCCUUCCCUCUUUUGAGGUAUUUCUAUUUUCUGUUAUUUCUGUUUUCCUAGGACCUUGACACUGUUAUGUGCAUUCAUGUUGGCUGGUUUAUGUGAGCCGUGAAUACACAGCUAACCGUGAUUUAUAUAACUGGGGUCUUGAAGGAAGAUGAAACUUAACAAUGCAAAGGAGACAAAAAAAUCAGGCUUUUGACUAUUGUAUCCAUUCCAUUUACUUUCAAGGUAUUGUGGGGGGGUGGUGGUGGUUGUAUUUUAUUUUCCUUGACCAAUGCUUAUUUUUCUUCACGUCUUCCAUUUCAGGUCCUCUUGUCUUUUCCUACAGAAAAGGUUACAAUAUGUUUUUCUUGACAUUUCUACUUAGAUAUUCAGUAUGGCUCUCCUCAGCUGGCCGAGGGAAAAAAGCCAAAACUACUCAUUUGCUCUGACAAGUGUUUUCACUCUCCGUGUUCUUGAUGAUUGGUUGUGCUGUGUGCUUGACUUCUGCAGCAGCUAAUAAGUAACUCCUGAUUCCAGAGUAACUCCUGAUUCCAAAGGUUGACAGCUAUCACUUGAGCUCUCGUUUCCGAGCAAUCCAGCAGACCACUGCCACUAGCACCAAACUUUCCUGUAAUUCUGACAUCGUAGUGAAUUCCUCCCCAACUGGCAAUAAGAAGGUCUUACACGGCUUUUUCUCUGCUUGAAUUCUCUGUUUUCUGGAUUGUGAAAUUAUCCUCUGCAUAAUUCAAGAACCGUUUCAUGAUCUAUGUUUAGCAGAAUUUGUUACCCAACAGAUGUCUGGACAGUUAAUGACCUCUGUAAGUACAGCCCUGUGAUUUCUUGCUACUGAUGGUCCAAGAAUUUUUAAUCUCUUCUGCUACAAGUCAGCACUAGGGCAGCAUGUCACCUCUUAUUAAAAAACAAAAGCAUAAAAUGUGUAUAAAUUUUCCCUUCAGAAUUUUUAUGCCUCGUCAGAAGGCAUAAAGAAAAGAUUCUCUUUUGAAUCUUUAUGUUCACAAAUGUGUGCAUGCAUAAAUGCACAUAGGUCCAUAUUUUUCUGGCCAAAACCAAAGGACAUGAAUAAACCCCCCUGAAAUUAAUCAAAAUAUAAUUUCAAAGAAAACGUAAUUCCAUAAAUACAAGUCAGAACUGACGCUGCCAGCCUUCAAGUUGAGGAAAGGGUAGAUGCCUAGAAAAGUCCAUGGUAGGAAAGCCUCUUCUACUGUCACUUUUACGUGUAUGGCAAACGUAGUCUUAGAAGAGGAUUUGGAGGCACUGGAUCCAGAUCAUUACCCCCAGCCAGUGAUGAGUUCACAGUAUGAAAUCAUGCUGCAGCUGCACAACUAUUCCCUCUUUCCUCCUCCCCAUGCAGAUCAGGCUUGAGCCCAUCCCUGCAUAGGAAAGUUGUCCUAGUUUCUCUUCUGGUUUUUUCUCUCUUUUCAGUUAUCGGCACUUGGGAGAGGAAAACUAUUGGGCAGGACUGUAUCAAAGAGGAGGUAAGAGAGUCCCUAACAUCUGGCACUCCUCUCGCAGAGGAGAGAGUCAAGGAAUUGAGUGCCAAUUGAUACAGGUCCGGUCAGACGUCCCUGUGGAGGAAUUCUGCAAGCCACAUGAUGAAGUCCCUAGAACAUAAAUCCGCACAGUGAAGUGCUUAAGAGGAUGGCUCAUACUUCAUUGUGUGCCACUGUGAAGGAGAGAAAAUGGACUGCCUGCACACAAGCGCUCCUGUAGCAUUCGGGCUCCUGGCACCUGCCUGGGACUCCCACCACGUAGCUCUUGAAUGCCAAGAAGUUUGCUAGAUGUCUUGUUAGUACCUGCUCCUACAGUGGAAGGGUCAUUGUGGCCAAACUGCUGGAUUGGAAGGUGCUGAAACCACGGAGAAAGAUUAAUCAGCUGGAUCUACACUGGUAAGGUUCAGGGGCCAACGUUCCAGCACUGCUACGCAGAGCUCUUACAAUUGAAUUGUAAGCACGUUACCUGGCAGUUUUGGGAUGCGACUCUUAGCAGCCUCUCAGAUGAUACCUGGACAUGCUCGGAGGACAGCGUGGAGCAGGGACCAUUUCCUUGAAGGCAGUUUUACAUCAUCACUCUUUGUGAGGGGAAGAAGAAAAUGUAGAUCUGUGAUGCAAGCUGGACACGCUGUUUGGCCUCAGACCCCAAAGAACAAUCUCUGGUCUGUUUUAUGAGCUAAUAGAGCUGGACACAUCCUGGAGCAGGUACGAGAACUUCUUGCUACAGUUUUGGCCUCAGGCUCUCUAGCUUUAGGGAAAGGUUUCUUUUUUAGUUUGGUUUUGUGGGGGUUUGGGGUUAUUUUGGUUUUUUUUUUAAUGAGUUUAAGUAUGUGCAUACAUGCAUACCUACCCGUGUGGCUUUUCAGAUUGGGAAACCUACUUCCAACGCUCAUUCAUUACAAUUUGAGGGGCUUUACGUGCUCUUAUUUACUACCUGUCCCUCUUCCAAUGUCUUCUCACUUGAACACUUUGGGACCACUAACAUGGCCAAUUCUUACAGUGUUUCUUCUUGUGGUUCAGUGAAAAAUAACUAUUGCCCUAGCUCCCUCAUAUUACUGGGAACUGAUCUGACACACCAGACAAGUUCUUUUGACUUCAAGAGCAUCACUUGGCCUCAUAGGGAGCCUUUUGACGACCUUUAUUUUUUGACACCAAUACCUGAUUUAGAUACUCUAUGUGGAAAUUGUCCUGUGCUCAUAUAAAGCAUACGAUACAGAGGCUAUUCUGGGGCCAGUUAGCCUGAACAUCAGGGUCUAAUCAAAACUACUGAGAAUGUCAGACUUUUUUUUUUUUUUUUUUCCUUCGUAGUCAGUCCCAGAUGGGCUGAUUUGGGGGGUUUUCUUUGUUUUCCCAUUUGGAGUUUCCUCAACCACUUUCAGAGGUACAAGAUGUACAUUCACCAGUUCCUCAGUUUUCACAGAGGUAUUUCUACUAUCUUGUCAGAUUUUUUUACACAGGGCGGUCACCAAGUUACAGAUGAUGACAUGACCAAAUAAUUGGUUUUCCCCUCCAAACACGUGUGGCCUCCUGUUUCUAGAGCAUCUACUAUUUUACAAAUAAAGAGUAUUUCUCCCACUUUCAUGAAUUUUCUCACCUGGUGGCUGUUCUGGAAUGGGCUAGUGCUUCCACACCCACUCUUGUCCCAAAGGAUGUCUCCCCAAAGCAACUAAACCUGACUCAGAUAUGGUUCUCUCUUCAAAAUCAAAGGGCACUCUGUAGAUUCUGACUAUAGACAUAUGGGCCUACUGCUGUGCAAGAUGUUCGGAGCAAUCAGACAUUCUGGCUGUGAUCUAUCUAGAAUAAAAAUGAUGCUUAUCAGGAAUGGCCAUGAGGUAAUUGGGGAACCAAAUGCUCCACACCACCAUCUGUGAUUGUGCCCAUCUAAAUGUGGCAUCACUGGGACAUACAUAUGUGCUCACAGGCUGAGGAACCCCUUUCAGUGGUGAUGGCCAGAAAUUCUGACUUACCUGCUAAAGUGAAGGUGACUCAUAAUAUUUGCACAGAAUAAGACAUGAAAAAGUUUGAUUAGACAAUCUGGGAUUCUUUUUUAAGUCCUUGAACAGCCCUAUGGUACUGAGUCAUAAGUCCCUGUAUACACUGAAACUUCUGCAAUUUCGCUCUCAAGCUGCUUCUCAGGACUUCUUCGCAGGAAUCAUUUUCCACAGAAAGGAUGAGUUCAGCCACCCUGCUUCAGAAACCACAAGCUUUUAAAGCAAUCUUUUGUCACAGGUUUGAGUUGACAAAAAUUGGCAGAUUUAAUGCAGGUCUACCUAUUUUUUUAAAGACUCAGAUGCUUGUUUUGUACAAUAUGAAACUUUUCAUGUAAUUGCAGUAAGGGGUAAUCUACAAAAUGGCUUGACUUCAAGAAAACUGCCCAGCUCCAAAAACUUUCUAUUGAAAAAUGCAUAUUAAAAUGACGCUAGAGCUUUGUUAGCAGUAGCACUGUUAGGAUCUUUUUGGCCAUAAGUUGUAUCAGACUUUUUUUUUUUGUGUGUGUGUGUGAAAUAUUCUCUCAUUCCUACUUCUAAGGUACUUUCAGUAUUAGCGAGCAAAAAAUAGUGUUUAAUAGUUUAAUAGUAGUUUUCUUGUUUGAUUUUCUCUUUAUAUGCUCAGAUCAUAGAAUCACAGAAUGGUUGGGGUUGGAAGUGACCUUUAAAGAUCAUCUAGUUCCAACACCCCUGCCAUGGGCAGGGACACCUUUCACUAGACCAGGUUGCUCAAAGCCCCAUCCAACCUGGCCUUGAACACUGCCAGGGAUGGGGCAGCCACAGCCUCUCUGGGCAGCCUGUGCCAGUGCCUCACCACCCUCAUUGUAAAAAAUUUCUUCCUUAUGUCUAGUCUAAAUCUACCCUCUUUCAGUUUAAAACCAUUACCCUUUGUCCUAUUGCAACAGGCCCUACUAAAAAGUCUGUGCUCAUCUUUCUUAUAAGACCCCUUUAAGUAAUGAAAGGCUGCAGUAAGGUCUCCCUGGAGCCUUCUCUUCUCCAGACUCAACAACCCCAACUCUCUCAGCCUUUCUCCAUAGCAGAGGUGCUCCAGCCCUCUGAUCGUUUUCGUGUCCCUCCUCUGGACCUGCUCCAACAGGUCCAUGUCUGUCCCGUGCUGAGGACCCCAGAGCUGGACGCAGGACCGCAGGUGGGCUCUCCCCCGAUGGGAGCAGAGGGGCAGAAUCCCCUCCCUCGACCUGCUGCCCACGCUGCUUGGGAUGCAGCCCAGGACACGGUCGGCUUGCUGGGCUGCAAGCGCACGUUGCUGGCUCGCGCCCGGCUUUUCAUCCCCCAGUACCCCCAAGUCCUUCUCGGCAGGGCUGCUCUCAAUCCCUUCAUCCCCCAGCCUGUGUUGAUACCGGGGGCUGCCCCGACCCAGCGACAGGACCCUGCACUUGGCCUUGUUGAAUCUCAUGAGAUUUCAGAUGGUUGAAAGCAUUUUGUCAACCAAACAACAUCCACUGUAGGCCCAUGUGUAGUAAAGGUGAGAAAAUUAAGACAAAAGUUGUAAGAAAAUGGUCCUUGAUGUUCCCUGGGCAUGUACUUAAUUGUACACUUCAGAUGAAAGAAAAGGAAAUACUUCAAAGCUUUCAUACAGUUCAUGCAUUAUGUAAGAGAAAUUUAUUUACCUUUCAAGCAGGUUACAUAGGUGAUUUUAAUGCAUUUUCCAAAUAGAAAGUGUAUUUAUUGACGAUAAUCUGUGAUUCUUCAAUAUCACAGAGGGAAGGAAGAUUUAGGAAAAAAAAAAUUCUGAAGUCCUGAGGCCUAGAAAAAUACAAGAAUAAUGAGCUUAGAAGAAUUAGUGGUCAGAAAGUUCCACCAAAAAGACAGUGAAUUAAAUUACAGAGUUUUUUUACAGCAAGUCGGGAGCCCAAAAUGUGAGUAAUACUAUAGCAGGAUCAAUGAGGACAAAGGAAACAGCAAUAAGACUGCAUACAAUGCCAGAACUGCUUAUGGGGCAAAAUGUAUGAGCCAGGAGUUCUCAUUUGCAGCCCACACACUGACACAGCAUCACUUUUUUUUUGUUCUCACAUGUUCACAGUCAGUUACAAAGCCAACAGCACUUCCAUGGCAGCUAAAAAUGAGUGCAUUUCUUCUCGAUAAGGUGCUACACAGUGAUGCUGCCAUGCAUAUUUUUUUUAAAGCUAAACUUUUUCUCCAUAACUUUGAUCUACAGCAGUUUCAAGCUGUGUUUCUGAUAGGUCCUAAUUUUCUAAAUGCCCCCAUAAAACAAAACGAAUGAAAUACAGAAGAAAACGGUCAGAAUGAGCAUGUAGGGCUUAUUAAUAGAAAUCUGAUCGGCAGUACUGUUCAUUGUGUGACUGAUAAAUACCUGGAGCAAAAUAAGGAGCAAUGUCUAAAUUUGAGGGUGCAUUUUUAUAACAAGUUUCGUAUUUUUAAGCAAGAUGGACAAGUGAGUUUUCUACAGAACAUUUUGGUGCUCUGUGAAGUUUGCCUUUCUAUAUAAAGAGCUCAUCUAUAUUUGUUUCCCACAUGCUUCCAAGAAUGAUGUAGCAUCAAAAUUAAAAAUAUUUUUCAGUGACUAUCUUUUGAAGGCUAUCACUGCUGACAAAACAGGAGGAGAGAAUUUUAAGCACGCAUUUUUGCAGUUGCAUAGAAGUGCAAGUUUCGAAGAAAUUGUAAAUCCUAUAUACUGUAAAGCUGGAAAACAUUUAGUUUACAAACAGGCAGAGAAGACAAGCAUGGGAGAAAAUAAAAUACUGCCACACUUGAUGGCUAUUGAGAGGCAGCUCUA
Harpia harpyja (harpy eagle) is the source of this 8753-nucleotide long non-coding RNA. RefSeq lists it as uncharacterized. The transcript has 4 exons. The record is from RefSeq and is a predicted model, not a curated record. Lineage: Eukaryota; Metazoa; Chordata; Aves; Accipitriformes; Accipitridae.